CGCGUAGGUGGUUAGGUAAGCGAGAUGUGAAAGCCCCGGGCUUAACCUGAGAACGGCAUUUCGAACUGUCUGACUAGAGUAUGGUAGAGGGUAGUGGAAUUUCCUGUGUAGCGGUGAAAUGCGUAGAUAUAGGAAGGAACACCAGUGGCGAAGGCGGCUACCUGGACCAAUACUGACACUGAGGUGCGAAAGCGUGGGGAGCAAACA
RNAcentral lists this ribosomal RNA (207 nucleotides) under uncultured bacterium. RNAcentral's name for it is "partial 16S ribosomal RNA". It matches the Rfam family "Bacterial small subunit ribosomal RNA", at positions 568 to 774 of the family's 1533-position model. The record is from RNAcentral.